CGUCGGCUGGGCCUGGUACCAGCGCCGCGUGCGCGUGCCGCGCGGCUGGGCCGGUGAACGCGUCGUCCUGCGGUUCGACGCCGCCACCCACGA
RNAcentral lists this transfer RNA (93 nucleotides) under Actinomadura cremea. Its description in RNAcentral is "tRNA-Thr". Lineage: Bacteria; Bacillati; Actinomycetota; Actinomycetes; Streptosporangiales; Thermomonosporaceae. The record is from RNAcentral.